GGGAUUGUGGCUCAGCAGUAGAGUGCUUACCUAGCACGUGAGAGGUCCUGAGUUCAAUCCUCGGCACCA
Molecule: transfer RNA, 69 nt
Filed under: Ictidomys tridecemlineatus (thirteen-lined ground squirrel)
Lineage: Eukaryota; Metazoa; Chordata; Mammalia; Rodentia; Sciuridae
Description: Spermophilus tridecemlineatus (thirteen-lined ground squirrel) tRNA
Rfam family: tRNA
About the family: Transfer RNA (tRNA) molecules are approximately 80 nucleotides in length. Their secondary structure includes four short double-helical elements and three loops (D, anti-codon, and T loops).
Source: Rfam by way of RNAcentral